CCUACGGGUGGCAGCAGUGGGGAAUAUUGCACAAUGGAGGCAACCCUGAUGCAGCGACGCCGCGUGAGUGAAGAAGUCAUUCUUUGUGUAAAGCUCUAUCAGCAGGAGAGAAAAUGACGGUACCUGAAUACGCCUCCCCGUCUAACUCCGUUCCAGCAGCCGCGGUACUACGUAGGGGGCAACCGUUAUCCGGAUUUCCUGGGUGUAAAGGGGGCGUAGACGGCUGUGCAAGUCUGGAGUGAAAGGCGGGGGCUCAACCCCCGGACUGCUUCGGAAACUGUACGGCUGGAGUGUAGGAGCGGUAAGUGGAUUGUAUAGUGUAGCGGUGAAAUGCGUAGAGAUCAGAAGGAACACCAGUGGCGAAGGCGGCUUACUGGACUGUAACUGACGUUGAGGCUCGAAAGCGUGGGGAGCAAACAGGAUUAGAUACCCUGGUAGUC
This 440-nucleotide ribosomal RNA is filed under the name uncultured bacterium. RNAcentral's name for it is "partial 16S ribosomal RNA". It matches the Rfam family "Bacterial small subunit ribosomal RNA", at positions 338 to 795 of the family's 1533-position model. The record is from RNAcentral.